This 200-nucleotide long non-coding RNA is filed under the name Elaeis guineensis (African oil palm). RNAcentral's name for it is "long non-coding RNA (EGUI_LNC019721)". Lineage: Eukaryota; Viridiplantae; Streptophyta; Magnoliopsida; Arecales; Arecaceae. The record is from RNAcentral.
UUUUUCUGGAUGGAGAUUAAAUUCAAGUCAACCACUUUGCUAAAAGUCAACCAGUGCAUGUAUACCACAUAUAUGUAUACCACUUGCAUUUUGUCACGUGUCAUGGAGAUCACAGACAAUGAAAGCUUAUAGGAAGUAUGAUCUAAUAUAUUAUUGUGAUCAAGGGAUUCCGAGGCUCAUACGGAUAGAGGACUCAUCCC